Molecule: microRNA precursor, 58 nt
Filed under: Danio rerio (zebrafish)
Lineage: Eukaryota; Metazoa; Chordata; Actinopteri; Cypriniformes; Danionidae
Description: Dre-Mir-124-P1a-v2_pre stem-loop
Rfam family: mir-124 microRNA precursor family
About the family: The mature ~21nt miRNAs are processed from hairpin precursor sequences represented here, in this case originating from the 3' arm.
Source: RNAcentral
CGUGUUCACAGUGGACCUUGAUUUAUUGUAUUUCAAUUAAGGCACGCGGUGAAUGCCA